UGGCUUCCAGACCAACAGAAAGUAAAUAUUUUAACACUCUUGACCAAUAAGUGAGAGAAACAAAAUGGCUGCUGUCAGGAUCAACCUACAUAAGACAGAGAAUCAAUGUUUAAAUGAAUUUAUGAAACUCUUCAGGUGAAUAACCAGGUUCAUGUGACUGGUACAUGUUCGUGCUGCAGUAAAUAUCACUAAUAUUUAUCUUAGUAUUACACAGAGGUGAGUACUCUAUAAUUGUCUAAUAGUUGUUUCCUUGACAACGGCCUUCAGGUCAUCUGCACUGCUCCUGUUGAUAAUACUCCUAUGGGGUUCAGGUCAGAUCAAUUCACCAAUCGAUCAAUUAACUGAAAGGUUAUUGAAGCAGCUUUUGGUAUGCUGGGCAGUGUGGGCCUGCUGGAAAAUUAAAUCAGCAUCUCCAUAAAGUUUUUCAGCAGACGGAAGCCUGAAGAGCUCUGGGAUGUCCUGGUAGAUGUCCGAGUUGACUGCAGAAAACCCAGUGGACCAGAACCAGUAGAUGAUCCGUCACCCAGUUUGUCACCGACUGUAGAAACGUCACACUUGGCUUCAAAACUCUUGAUGCGUUGACUCCAGGUGAAGCUUCUUAGGUGGAUUAGUUGGUGGCACACCUUCUUUUUUUAACCACACUUUUUUCUUCCACUAAACUUUCUAUAAUAAGAUGGAUGUCAGCACUUUGUGAACAACUAGCUUCUUUAGCAACAAACCUUUUCGACCGCUACAAGAGAAAAGCCAUCACUAUCUACAAUAACUCUUUGAAGAAUCGGAAUUAAUACGAGUUACAGUAACAUUUAAUUUCCUUUUGGGAUCAAUAAAGUACUUUUGAAUUUUAUUUUACCUCCCUAACUGUAGAAGUUACACGUAUUACAAAUCCAUAUAAGCCUUAAAAUAAAUUGGUUGAGUCACCAUAAUUUAUGUCCCAAGUCAUCAAAAGCAGAAUAAAAACACAAUAAAGUUGGGAUAAAAUGGGAUUUUCUACACUUUUUGCUUCAUUAAAAGCAUUUUAAGACUUCAAAAUUAUUUUAAACCAAAGGUGCAAAUUAAUUUUUUCAUUAGAAAGCAAAUGCAUAAACAAGUAUGAAGUUCCAGAGAGCCACCACCAGAGGGCGCUCAUUGCUAAUUUAUCAACAAUAACAGCUGUUGCUACUUUUUGCUAUUUUUCCCUCAGAAAUUCUUAAAAAUACAAGGUUUAAAAUGAAGUAGUGGUGAAAACUAUGCAAAUAAUCAUGUUUUCUUAACAGUGAAUGUUUAACUGUCACUAUAAUCCUAACACACAAAGAAGUGAAAACAUUUUCCCAUCUAUAGGAGAUGUAAAUAAACAAAUACCUGCUGUGUGAAGGAUUUACGUCAACAUCUCUGUCCAGAUGAAGCUUUAAACAUCGUACCGCCGCCACAUCAGGGGCCACAGCUGCCGAUUAGUCGCAUCUUGUUUACACCAGGGGCCGAAGAUUUGUGUGACCUAUUUGCUAAAAAAGCCCAGGAGGCAGAGAAAAGCAAACUGCGAAAACAUGAGUUUACAAAGGUUUUAAAAAGGAAAGAAGACAAAACGAAUGUUUCAGGAAAAGCUGCGUAUUGUUUAGAGACAGAUUAAUCAGUAAUAUGAUGAUUGAUGAGCUAAAUUUAAAAGUAUAAAAAAUUAAUUUGUCCAUUUUUUAAAUCUAAAAGAAGCUAUUAUGACAUU
This is a long non-coding RNA of Poecilia latipinna (sailfin molly), 1693 nucleotides long. RefSeq lists it as uncharacterized. The record is from RefSeq and is a predicted model, not a curated record. Lineage: Eukaryota; Metazoa; Chordata; Actinopteri; Cyprinodontiformes; Poeciliidae. The transcript is spliced from 2 exons.